RNAcentral lists this ribosomal RNA (253 nucleotides) under uncultured bacterium. RNAcentral's name for it is "partial 16S ribosomal RNA". It matches the Rfam family "Bacterial small subunit ribosomal RNA", at positions 524 to 776 of the family's 1533-position model. The record is from RNAcentral.
UACGGAGGGGGCUAGCGUUGUUCGGAAUUACUGGGCGUAAAGCGCGCGUAGGCGGCUUAGCAAGUUAGAGGUGAAAGCCCGAAGCUCAACUUCGGAAUUGCCUUUAAAACUGCAAAGCUAGAAUCAUGGAGAGGUGAGUGGAAUUCCGAGUGUAGAGGUGAAAUUCGUAGAUAUUCGGAAGAACACCAGUGGCGAAGGCGACUCACUGGACAUGUAUUGACGCUGAGGUGCGAAAGCGUGGGGAGCAGACAGG